GCUUGUAGCUCAGUGCCAGAGCGUUUGCCUUGCACCCAGAAGGUCCCCGGUUUGAUCCCUGGCAUCACCA
Podarcis lilfordi (Lilford's wall lizard) is the source of this 70-nucleotide non-coding RNA. The record is from the annotation of a GenBank genome assembly. Lineage: Eukaryota; Metazoa; Chordata; Lepidosauria; Squamata; Lacertidae.